GACGAACGCUGGCGGCGUGCUUAACACAUGCAAGUCGAACGGAAAGGCCCUGCUUUUGUGGGGUGCUCGAGUGGCGAACGGAUGAGUAACACGUGAGUAACCUGCCCUUGACUUUGGGAUAACUUCAGGAAACUGGGGCUAAUACCGGAUAGGAGCUCCUGCUGCAUGGUGGGGGUUGGAAAGUUUCGGCGGUUGGGGAUGGACUCGCGGCUUAUCAGCUUGUUGGUGGGGUAGUGGCUUACCAAGGCUUUGACGGGUAGCCGGCCUGAGAGGGUGACCGGCCACAUUGGGACUGAGAUACGGCCCAGACUCCUACGGGAGGCAGCAGUGGGGAAUAUUGCACAAUGGGCGGAAGCCUGAUGCAGCAACGCCGCGUGCGGGAUGACGGCCUUCGGGUUGUAAACCGCUUUCGCCUGUGACGAAGCGUGAGUGACGGUAAUGGGUAAAGAAGCACCGGCUAACUACGUGCCAGCAGCCGCGGUGAUACGUAGGGUGCGAGCGUUGUCCGGAUUUAUUGGGCGUAAAGGGCUCGUAGGUGGUUGAUCGCGUCGGAAGUGUAAUCUUGGGGCUUAACCCUGAGCGUGCUUUCGAUACGGGUUGACUUGAGGAAGGUAGGGGAGAAUGGAAUUCCUGGUGGAGCGGUGGAAUGCGCAGAUAUCAGGAGGAACACCAGUGGCGAAGGCGGUUCUCUGGGCCUUUCCUGACGCUGAGGAGCGAAAGCGUGGGGAGCGAACAGGCUUAGAUACCCUGGUAGUCCACGCUGUAAACGGUGGGUACUAGGUGUGGGGUCCAUUCCACGGGUUCCGUGCCGUAGCUAACGCUUUAAGUACCCCGCCUGGGGAGUACGGCCGCAAGGCUAAAACUCAAAGGAAUUGACGGGGCCCCGCACAAGCGGCGGAGCAUGCGGAUUAAUUCGAUGCAACGCGUAGAACCUUACCUGGGUUUGACAUGGAUCGGGAGUGCUCAGAGAUGGGUGUGCCUCUUUUGGGGUCGGUUCACAGGUGGUGCAUGGCUGUCGUCAGCUCGUGUCGUGAGAUGUUGGGUUAAGUCCCGCAACGAGCGCAACCCUUGUUCACUGUUGCCAGCACGUUAUGGUGGGGACUCAGUGGAGACCGCCGGGGUCAACUCGGAGGAAGGUGGGGAUGACGUCAAGUCAUCAUGCCCCUUAUGUCCAGGGCUUCACGCAUGCUACAAUGGCUGGUACAGAGAGUGGCGAGCCUGUGAGGGUGAGCGAAUCUCGGAAAGCCGGUCUCAGUUCGGAUUGGGGUCUGCAACUCGACCUCAUGAAGUCGGAGUCGCUAGUAAUCGCAGAUCAGCAACGCUGCGGUGAAUACGUUCCCGGG
RNAcentral lists this ribosomal RNA (1343 nucleotides) under uncultured bacterium. RNAcentral describes it as "16S ribosomal RNA". It matches the Rfam family "Bacterial small subunit ribosomal RNA", at positions 28 to 1378 of the family's 1533-position model. The record is from RNAcentral.